UGUAGGAUUACUGGGUGAAGUGAAACUGAUAACUUUUUGAGAAACUGCCAGAUUGCUUUCUGAAGUUGCAGCCCCAGUUCACAUUCUCCCCAGCAAU
RNAcentral lists this microRNA precursor (97 nucleotides) under Marmota monax (woodchuck). Lineage: Eukaryota; Metazoa; Chordata; Mammalia; Rodentia; Sciuridae. The record is from RNAcentral.